Molecule: unclassified non-coding RNA, 240 nt
Filed under: uncultured fungus
Lineage: Eukaryota; Fungi
Description: partial contains 5.8S ribosomal RNA, internal transcribed spacer 2, and large subunit ribosomal RNA
Rfam family: 5.8S ribosomal RNA (bases 1-52)
Source: RNAcentral
AACGCACAUUGCGCCCCGUGGUAUUCCGCGGGGCAUGCCUGUUCGAGCGUCAUUUCACCACUCAAGCCUCGCUUGGUAUUGGGCGCCGCGUGUUCGCACGCGCGCCUCAAAGUCUUUCCGGCUGAGUCGUCCGUCUCCCAGCGUUGUGAUACAUUUUCGCUUCGGAGUGCGGGUGGCCGCGGCCGUUAAAUCUUCUCACAGGUUGACCUCGGAUCAGGUAGGGAUACCCGCUGAACUUAA